CUGGACUUCAGACACAUGCUGCGGACGCACCCAUAGCCUGAUUCGCAGUAGGUGAGCGCAGCUGCUAGAGCCAGAGGCUUUUCUUGAGCAACAGCAGUCAAUUAUAUCAACUUAACGUGUGGUUUUGUAACAAACCCAAUGUGUUAUGCUGUUGGCUGAAGUUUCUUAUGUUUUGUCAUCUCUCAGGAAAUUGCUAAAAAAAGUACUGUUGGUCCGUUACUUUGUUUAAUGUGCUGAGUACACCUUUCUUUCCUUUAGUGCAAGAAGGGUAUUUUUUCUUGCAGGGAAACAAAAGUAAAAACACUAAGAAAGAAAAAACAUUUUUCCCUCAAGAAGAGAAAGUAACAGUUUGUGUCUCUUUAUGGAGUGAACCUGACUGACUGGUCCUGGAGGAAAGCUUGUGGAGUAGCUUUUCCAAGACAGUUAUUGAAAGGGAAGUGAAAUGCCACUGCAUUUGUGCAUCUAUGACUUUUGGUCUUAUCUACCUGAGACUGGCAAGGAAAAGUUGGCAGCCCGAAUCUCGUGCAAAAGUAGCACAGUUAUCUGAAGACCUUUUCUGAUUUUGCACAUGCUGGAAGCUUUUAUCUGGCAAUAAUGUUGUACCUGCUACUCAUGUACAUACGGCUUCGUACUCACUUGAAACAUAGAUAAACCUGAGUUCCGUUGGUACCAGCAGGAUGGAGCAGGCGAUCAGACUUUAUUUAACCACUGAGUUGGUUGUCCUUGUGUGGUGGUUCUUGGACAAAACAUCCUAAAGAACUUUGCAAAGGAAAGAUAGUGCAGCCAAGUCCAGGAGGUGGGUCUGAAACUCUAUUUUAAAUGAUGUUACUGAUAUGACAACUGUAACUUGAGUUGUGAAGACUUUGACUUGGGAGGAAUUGACUUAAAGUAUAUGAUUUACAGCUAGGGUUCACAGAAGAGCUUCUGUAAGGAGUCUGGUAGAGAUGGGAA
RNAcentral lists this long non-coding RNA (951 nucleotides) under Struthio camelus australis. RNAcentral describes it as "lncRNA (ENSSCUG00000018989.1)". Lineage: Eukaryota; Metazoa; Chordata; Aves; Struthioniformes; Struthionidae. The record is from RNAcentral.